CCUACGGGUGGCAGCAGUGGGGGAUAUUGCACAAUGGGGGAAACCCUGAUGCAGCGACGCCGCGUGGGCGAAGAAGUAUUUCGGUAUGUAAAGCCCUAUCAGCAGGGAAGAAGAACUGGCUGUACCUGAGUACUCAGCCCCGUCUAAAUACGUGCCAGCAGCCGCGGUAAUACGUAGGGUGCAAGCGUUAUCCGGAUUUACUGGGUGUAAAGGGAGCGCAGGCGGCACGGCAAGUCUGAUGGGAAAGCCCGCGGCCCAACCGCGGGACUGCAUUGGGAACUACCGGGCUGGAGUGCGGGAGAGGUAGGCGGAAGUCCUAGUGUAGCGGUGAAAUGCGUAGAUAUUAGGAGGAACACCAGUGGCGAAGGCGGCCUACUGGACGGUGACUGACGCUGAGGCUCGAAAGCGUGGGGAGCAAACAGGAUUAGAUACCCCAGUAGUC
RNAcentral lists this ribosomal RNA (442 nucleotides) under uncultured bacterium. Its description in RNAcentral is "partial 16S ribosomal RNA". It matches the Rfam family "Bacterial small subunit ribosomal RNA", at positions 338 to 795 of the family's 1533-position model. The record is from RNAcentral.